CACGUAGGGUGCGAGCGUUGUCCGGAAUUAUUGGGCGUAAAGAGCUCGUAGGCGGUGUGUCGCGUCGGCCGUGAAAACCUGCAGCUUAACUGUGGGCUUGCGGUCGAUACGGGCAUCACUGGAGUUCGGCAGGGGAGACUGGAAUUCCUGGUGUAGCGGUGAAAUGCGUAGAUAUCAGGAAGAACACCCGUGGCUAAGGCGGCUCUCUAGUACGGUACCGACGCUGAGACGCGAAAGCGUGGGGAGCAAACAGG
Molecule: ribosomal RNA, 254 nt
Filed under: uncultured bacterium
Lineage: Bacteria
Description: partial 16S ribosomal RNA
Rfam family: Bacterial small subunit ribosomal RNA
Source: RNAcentral